This 615-nucleotide ribosomal RNA is filed under the name Trichosporon asahii. RNAcentral's name for it is "partial large subunit ribosomal RNA". It matches the Rfam family "Eukaryotic large subunit ribosomal RNA", at positions 51 to 655 of the family's 3401-position model. The record is from RNAcentral. Lineage: Eukaryota; Fungi; Basidiomycota; Tremellomycetes; Trichosporonales; Trichosporonaceae.
CGGAGGAAAAGAAACUAACAAGGAUUCCCCUAGUAACGGCGAGUGAAGCGGGAAGAGCUCAAAUUUGAAAUCUGGCAGUCUUCGAUUGUCCGAGUUGUAAUCUAUAGAGGCGUUUUCCGUGCCGGACCGUGUCCAAGUCUCCUGGAAAGGAGUAUCAAAGAGGGUGAUAAUCCCGUACUUAACACGACCACCGGUGCUCUGUGAUACGUCUUCUACGAGUCGAGUUGUUUGGGAAUGCAGCUCAAAAUGGGUGGUGAAUUCCAUCUAAAGCUAAAUAUUGGCGAGAGACCGAUAGCGAACAAGUACCGUGAGGGAAAGAUGAAAAGCACUUUGGAAAGAGAGUUAAACAGUACGUGAAAUUGUUGAAAGGGAAACGAUUGAAGUCAGUCGUGUUCUUUGGAUUCAGCCAGUUCUGCUGGUCUACUUCCUUGGAACGGGUCAACAUCAGUUUUGUCCGGUGGAUAAAGGUAGUAGGAAUGUGACUUCUCCGGAAGUGUUAUAGCCUAUUAUCACAUACACUGGGUGAGACUGAGGACUGCAGCUCGCCUUUAUGGCCGGCCUUCGGGCACGUUCGAGCUUAGGAUGUUGACAUAAUGGCUUUAAACGACCCGUCUU